Heligmosomoides polygyrus is the source of this 75-nucleotide non-coding RNA. NCBI's taxonomy places the organism in Eukaryota, Metazoa, Nematoda, Chromadorea, Rhabditida, Heligmosomidae. The record is from Rfam.
GCGCCGGUGGUGUAAAGGCGUAGAGCAUUCCCGCAUGGUCAGAGGGAGGUGCGGGUUCGAGUCCCGCCUGGCGCU